This is a long non-coding RNA of Hordeum vulgare subsp. vulgare (domesticated barley), 140 nucleotides long. RefSeq lists it as uncharacterized. The record is from RefSeq and is a predicted model, not a curated record. NCBI's taxonomy places the organism in Eukaryota, Viridiplantae, Streptophyta, Magnoliopsida, Poales, Poaceae. The transcript has 3 exons.
GGGUGUUUGUGUUCUAUCACAGGCAUAGUUUGAAGGAAGUUUUGGACACCCCAGGUGUGAUGUCACUGAUAAAAGAUACAAAAGCGGCACAGGAGGUGCAAGCUUUGAAAGAGUUCUUCGCUAUGCUUACUAAUGUAAGC